UCAGGACGAACGCUGGCGGCGUGCCUAAUACAUGCAAGUCGAGCGAAUCGAUGGGAGCUUGCUCCCUGAGAUUAGCGGCGGACGGGUGAGUAACACGUGGGCAACCUGCCUAUAAGACUGGGAUAACUUCGGGAAACCGGAGCUAAUACCGGAUACGUUCUUUUCUCGCAUGAGAGAAGAUGGAAAGACGGUUUACGCUGUCACUUAUAGAUGGGCCCGCGGCGCAUUAGCUAGUUGGUGAGGUAAUGGCUCACCAAGGCGACGAUGCGUAGCCGACCUGAGAGGGUGAUCGGCCACACUGGGACUGAGACACGGCCCAGACUCCUACGGGAGGCAGCAGUAGGGAAUCUUCCGCAAUGGACGAAAGUCUGACGGAGCAACG
RNAcentral lists this ribosomal RNA (382 nucleotides) under Peribacillus simplex. Its description in RNAcentral is "bacterial SSU rRNA". It matches the Rfam family "Bacterial small subunit ribosomal RNA", at positions 24 to 396 of the family's 1533-position model. The record is from RNAcentral. Lineage: Bacteria; Bacillati; Bacillota; Bacilli; Caryophanales; Bacillaceae.